GAUGAACGCUGGCGGCGUGCCUAAUACAUGCAAGUCGAACGCACAGUUUAUACCGUAGCUUGCUACACCAUAGACUGUGAGUUGCGAACGGGUGAGUAACGCGUAGGUAACCUGCCUGGUAGCGGGGGAUAACUAUUGGAAACGAUAGCUAAUACCGCAUAAUAUUGAUUAUUGCAUGAUAAUUGAUUGAAAGAUGCUAUUGCAUCACUGCCAGAUGGACCUGCGUUGUAUUAGCUAGUAGGUGAGGUAACGGCUCACCUAGGCGACGAUACAUAGCCGACCUGAGAGGGUGAUCGGCCACACUGGGACUGAGACACGGCCCAGACUCCUACGGGAGGCAGCAGUAGGGAAUCUUCGGCAAUGGACGAAAGUCUGACCGAGCAACGCCGCGUGAGUGAAGAAGGUUUUCGGAUCGUAAAGCUCUGUUGUAAGAGAAGAACGGGUGUGAGAGUGGAAAGUUCACACUGUGACGGUAGCUUACCAGAAAGGGACGGCUAACUACGUG
This 505-nucleotide ribosomal RNA is filed under the name uncultured bacterium. RNAcentral's name for it is "partial 16S ribosomal RNA". It matches the Rfam family "Bacterial small subunit ribosomal RNA", at positions 28 to 507 of the family's 1533-position model. The record is from RNAcentral.